Molecule: long non-coding RNA, 203 nt
Filed under: Mytilus galloprovincialis (Mediterranean mussel)
Lineage: Eukaryota; Metazoa; Mollusca; Bivalvia; Mytilida; Mytilidae
Source: RNAcentral
GUCAGGCAAGGAUAAAACUAACAAAGAUAAAAGUUUUUUUCAGGUGUUUUUGCUUCAUUUAGACAUGAAAAGGGAAUAACGGACGACUAAAUGAAAGUGUUUGUUUUCAUAUAAUAUAUUGAACUUGCGAAUAUAUCUCACCCAAAACGUUUUGAUCGGAACAGUGAAACCUAGUUUAAUACGGUUUUAUUCAUUGAAGUUUG